UCCCCCCGACUCAUCCAGCCAUCUGAAAAGGGGCGCCGUGCAACCACCGGCCGACAGCAUCGGAGUCCAUCUGGCGCGGUGGCCGCUGCCGGCGAUGUCCAGCGCCACCACGACCCCAGCCCAUCUGUCCCGUUCUACUCUCUCUUCCCCACCUUAUCCAGCCAUCUCCAAAGAAAAGGAAAAUGGCGGCACCGUGAGAACCACCGCCGGCAGAGGUGGAAUCGAUUCGGCGAUGUGGCCGCUGCCUGCGCCGUACAAUCCCAGCCUCUCUUAUGCCUUCUCUCAGCCCCACCGCCCACCGCCACCACGAUCCCAUCCUCGUCGCCGUCUGCUCCGCCCGCUCCCUUGUCUCCUCCGACCCUGAUCGACGCAGGUCCGCCGCCGACGCUUCUUCUGCCUCUUUUUCUGCCGCAGAGUUCCCACCAACCACCGCCCACUAUUGCCACCACCUCCCCCUCGUUGAUGUCUCGUCCGCCCUUACCCUUAUCCUGCAACGCAGACUGCCAUAGGUACGCCGGCGGAACUGUCUAGAAAGUAGAAACACUCUUCCAGGCCAAUAUAUAUCAAAUUUUCUGUCAUCCAGAGUUCAAAUCCGUGCGCCAAUGUGGAGCUGUCUAGAAACUACUCUUGCAGACAAAUAUAAAGCAAAUGGGCAGGCCUAUGGGACUAACGCUGCUGCACCCAGAGAAGCCAGACGCUGGUCACGCCAAUCUUCAGAUUGAAUGGAUUGUGAGGACUUCGCCUUCUGGUAUGGGUGAAUCUUCUUACUUGUGCAAUUGCAGAUAUGUGCUUUGACAGAAAUAACUGAUGUAAUUAGAGGAAUAGUUUACUGUGGUUAGAUUUGCUAUGCUAGCCUACUUCUAUGCUAAUAUGAUUGCUACACUGAUAAUUAGCGAAUAUAAUAGUAGUCUGAUCUUUUAUUCAUCUAUUGACGUAGAUUGCUGGACUGCAUAUAGUCACAUUCUUGUCACUAGAUCUUAUACUUUUGUGGUACCACAUGAUAUAUGCAUUGCGAUAUUGCUUACAGUUGAAAUUUUGAAGGAGUUGCUUAAGUUGACCAAAUAUGCAUUGGUACCAAAUAAUCAAGUAUGCACAUCAAUACUCAGUGGCAGCUCCAACUAGAAAUAGAUUUAUUUCUCACCAAAUUACUGAUUUGAUCCACAUGGCAGGUCCAAAAGAUACUAACAGAAAUUAAAAGUUGUCAGGAAAAACCCUUGGAUUUUGGUGUGAGACUGAAGAACCACAAGGUCAGGGCAUACUGGUUGUGUUAGGUUGAAUAUAGAGUAUGUGCACUUAUUUAAAGAUUGGUGGUUGUGCUAGAGAUUUAUAAGAAGUGCAACAUGCUUCAUACUUCACAGUUUUGUGCAUGUUGCUGUGAACGUAUUUUCUUUUCUUGCUGUAGAUUGCAAGUUGUGAAGCUUAUUAUUAGACAUGCUUGGAAUUUAUUGUGAUAGGUUCUUAGAAAAUGCUGUGAAAUUUUCAUACUUGAUCACUUCUGUAUACUACUAUGUUCUGAUUGUACUUUUUGGCUACCAUACAUGUGCAUAACAUUUGUCUUUGUUACUCCCUCUGUUCAAAAAAUUCGGACAACACUGACAGCAGGUUGCUUUGUCAUCAGUGCAUUUCCUUUGCUUGGUAGCUCCUCAUCCAAUUUUCAGGCCACACCCUGAAUAUUUGUUUCCCCUAUGUCUGUUAUCAACAUGUUUUUUUCUUUGCAGAAGCCUGGUUGAUGUAAGAAAGUUACAAGUAGUCCACAGUACUAAUAUUUUUUUAUGUACAUACAUGUGCACUCACCCCUUCUAUAUACAUAUGAUUCAAAAACAUCUUUUACUUUACAUUUUUUUCUUUGCUCUGUACAAAAUGUACUAAGUGUUGUCCAUUGUUUUUUCCUUUGCCUAAAUAUAGUACAGAGUACAUAUCCUCUAUAAGGUCCUUGUUUUUUUCCUUUGUCUAAAUAUACUACAGACCAUCAUAUAUAUGCAGUACUGAUUACCUGAUGUCCUUUUAGGUGAGAAGAUGGAUGGAGCCAGAGCUCGAAGGCCAACAUUGUUAGCAGAGAUGUUUUGGGCAAACAACUAAAAGAAGGGUAUACUAUGCUUGACACACAUGAUUCCGUGGCCUGAUAGAUGCCUAAGACUUGGGCUUCCACUGUACGACACAAGUGGAGAUGACUCUGUUUUUUGACCAUGAUCUUGAGAGUUGUUCCAAGGAAAACAACAGUUCUGUUGCAAUAGUUCUUUUAAGGUUGUACAUGAUAGUAUGUACCCGGAGAACGCAGGCCGUGCCGGUGAUUUGGGAGAUUUGGCGUGAGCGCAAUUGCCGCACUUUUCACAAUUUGGAUUCGUCGGCUGCUAUGCUUACAUGCCUUGUCGUUGACGAAGCCAAUGUUGGAAGGAGGCUGACACACCACACAUCAUUUUGUGAUAGUAAUCUAGCUUAGUGGCCCCUCUCAAUUUUGUGUUUUCUCAUUUGCUUUACAUGUGUUUGUACAUUACUCGCUCCUAUCAAUGAAAUCAAUAGCUCUGCUGUUAGGCUUAAGAAAAAACUGUCUUGGAGCUCAGUUGUUGCCUCCGUCAGAUAUUUGCACUGUAUGAACAAACUGCUAUGUGGACAGAUUUUCUAUUUGUCAUAUGCUC
Molecule: long non-coding RNA, 2636 nt
Organism: Triticum aestivum (bread wheat)
Lineage: Eukaryota; Viridiplantae; Streptophyta; Magnoliopsida; Poales; Poaceae
Exons: 3
Source: RefSeq, a predicted model, not a curated record